UUGGGAACUGAGCAGUUUUUUUUUUUCCUUCUACUAAACUCAAGGGGCUUCAAAUAAAAUCAAACAAACAAAUAGAAAGAUUUCGUCAAAUUUUGAAGGGAAAAAAACUGGCAAUCGAAAAAGAGAGGGAGGGAUGUGUGUAGCGGGAUCCUUUCAUGGUGGCAACUGGUGUGAAACAUCAAAGAUUGAUAGUGCUUUGCAAAACUCUAAUUUAGGAGAUUACAUAAGAAGUCAUCCUUUAAUUUAUUGUCACUUUUCUUUUUGUUUUCUCACAAUCUCUCGGUACUUUCUUCUUCUUUUUUUAUUUUUUUAUUUUUAAGGAUGGUAAUUUCAUGAAAUUAACUAUUGUCUAUGUGUUAAUAUAUUUAAAGGGUAAAGGAAAAUAUAUGAUUCAUAGUGAAUGGAUGAAGUUGUGACUUAUCAGCCCCUGUUAUUAAGGUUAGAGGACUAAUACACCAGCCCUUCAAUCUUCUUCUAAGAUUAUCAUAGAUAAUUUGGGUACAUAUUUUCUUCUAUAAUGUAAUUGAUUUUGCUUGAUUGGAAGGAGUCUUCAUAUUGUUGCAUGACAAAUAAAAAUCGAUGGAGUCUAUUCAUUCACAUGAGUGAGGGAAUAUUUAUGAGUCUAUUCUUUCAUUUUUCAUUGUUAUGUUCAAGACAAUAUAACAGAUUUAAUAUAAGAUUUGUUGUUUGUUGUUUGAUAAGUUGAAUAAUUUGAGAAAAUCUUGAAAUGUUAAUCACUCUAUAUGCAUCUUUGGUUUUAUGCUAUCAAUGAUGUAGACUUUAGACUUCAUCCCUGAAGAAGACAAAAUUCAUUGAGGCUUAUCUUUCUUUCAUUUAUGAUGAUAUGAAUUUUUUUUAAUUUCCUUCUUUGCUUGAACACUCAACGGAGUUGCGGAGCAUUGCAAUCACAUCAUACCGCGACUAGGAUAUGGGACCACCGCACCACCACCGCAAAAUUCACAUGCAACAUUGUUGGUGCUAGAAGGUCGGAGUUUUCCUUGGAGAUGGUGGCGAGUAAUGCAACAUGCCAGUGUACCUUGUAACAAGAAAAAAUUGGCUCUGCUCUCUAUUUAAUUUUACUAGUUUUGGUUGCAUAUUUAUCAUAUUGAUAUUGAUUAUUCUCUUAUUGUCUUCAUCUUGCUUGCAUAUAUUAAAGGUUUUUAAUUUCAUUAACAUAAGAAGUAUAGUUUUCUUAAAUUCUGAAAGGAAGCAUUAUAUAGCUGAAUUUCAGGAGAAGAUGCGGAUAACAAAAAAGAAACACAUGGUGAAGUAUAAAGGUCUAUAAGUGAUGAGAUGAAGAUGUG
RNAcentral lists this long non-coding RNA (1304 nucleotides) under Medicago truncatula (barrel medic). RNAcentral's name for it is "long non-coding RNA (MTRU_LNC008655)". The record is from RNAcentral. Lineage: Eukaryota; Viridiplantae; Streptophyta; Magnoliopsida; Fabales; Fabaceae.